Molecule: ribosomal RNA, 37 nt
Filed under: Rhizoctonia solani
Lineage: Eukaryota; Fungi; Basidiomycota; Agaricomycetes; Cantharellales; Ceratobasidiaceae
Also listed under: 1 other name
Description: partial 18S ribosomal RNA
Source: RNAcentral
UCCGUAGGUGAACCUGCGGAAGGAUCAUUAUUGAAUU